GAAAAUUGUCAACCACUCCUUCCUUAGGGGGUAAAAGCAACAUUCAGCACCGGGGGCAGGUCAAGGCAAGGCUGGCUCCCGUCUCCAGGCCCCAAGGAGCCACACCUGGACCAGACCCCAGGAAAGACAUGUGGUGGAAACCCUACGGCCCUGGAGCCCAAGGAGAGCAACGGCUGUAACAAGUGCACAGGCAAGGGCGCUAGCUGGUGGGAGCCACCCCGCCAUGCUGAUGUCAGAGAAGCAAGAACUCUGGAGAAGCAGCCUCCUGGGACCAGAGGAGGGCCAGCAGCAGGCAGCCCGGAGACAGAACUGUGAGCCCACCCCACCUCCACCCUUCCGGCACCCACAUCCGCUCCCCACCCCAGCCCACCUGCAGGUGGCUCCUGGAGUAUCCUGGGUCCCUCAGGAUAAACUCCCCACCCUAACCUCAGAAUGACCAAGAAACUGGGCCUGAGGAUGACAAGAAGCAGAAUGGGCCUUGGUAAAGGAAGACCCCCCACUGAUUGGUGGCAGUGCGGGCAGUUCAGGGCUGUCAGCGUCUGGGUUGUAGGUAAAAAGAAAUGGAACCCAAGAAGGGAAAUCCAACUAGGAGCCAAGAAUCCGGUCUACCCCAUCCUCCUUACGAAAUAGCAAUGCAAAGCCCGUGUGAUUUGGACAUAAAGCCUCUGUUACUCAACUUGAUUCGGUGAAUAACAGACUUGAAAGAAAUGUGGAAAAUAAUAGUAAUCUUCCCUAGAAAGGAGUAAACAGGGUUGAGCUCCCAAAGCAGGAAGACCUGGGGCUGUGUGAUCUUGGACGAGUCACUCAACCUCUCUGAGCCUAGUGAUAAAGAGCCAGCUCAUAGGGCUUUGAGAGGAUUUGUGAGGUUGGGCUGGUGUCCCCAGGCACAGCCCUUGGCACAUAGUGAAACUCAAGAAAACAGAGCAGUUUUUACCAUUCAUCACAUUAUUCCCACACUUGCCAAUUUUUUAAGUUCAUGCACAUGGUGGAACAGGUAGGGUGAGGUGCCAGCUCCAUAAGAUGAGUGGAGAAACUGAGGCCUGGAGAGGUGAAAGCAUUCACUCAGAGUUGCAUGUAGAGUCAGUUGCAAAGGAGAAUUCUGGCACCAGUUCUCAUGUGGAUGGAAAAAGUGCAGGAAGAUUUGGAGGUGAGCAGAGGAGAAGGGAGGAGGAGGCCGGGUUCCAGGAAAGGAGCUGACAUCCAGGGAUGUGGGACAAGGCCCAGGCCUGUCUUACAUAACAUGGUCCACCUGUUCACCCCUGCAGGCCCCACAAAUGUGUGCAAACGUGCACCCCGGCACAGCGCACACCCAGUCCUCCCUCACUGGCAAAUAAGCCACAGAGACUGGGUUUAAACAAAUUGGAUUAGGAGGGCUACAGGCGCCUCCUCCCCCCGACUGUCCGGCUCCGACACUAAACAGACCUGCAGAACUGCCAGCUGUGGUCUCUCGGACACACUGACAGUCGGUCCUUGGCUCCCUCACCCCACCCGUGGGCCUCAGGAAGGGGGUUGGGGUCUGAGAGGAUGCCACAGUGAUGGAUGGGGUGAGGGAGGUUCCAGGGCUAGCUCAACAGCGCACAGGAUGUUAGUGCUUUUGCGAGGCACAUUUCCGAGCUGUUCCCAGACCCGCCCCCACUUCCCCCCUCACCCUCCCCUCCGGCAGCCUCUCCCAUGGCCACUGCUGCGGGCUGUGAGCAGAGCCCCGUCCUUGAGCAGAUUGACCUCAUCUUUCAGUCCUGCAGCUGGGCUGAGCGGGGAGUCAGCUCAGAAGACACUGGCCUGGGGAUGAGACUCGGGGCAUGCUUCAGAGGGAAGAAAGAGCUUCUGAACAGACAAUGCUGUCUUAAAGGUGGCAUCUUGGUGCUUUCUCAUGCCUUGUUUUCUUUCAUCCUCAGAAUGUGUCUGGGGGUGAGAGGACGGGUGUGACUGCUGAAACUUCCUUUCUUGGUGAUUCCACAUCACUCCUUUCUGAUCCCUGAGCCUGUGCCACGCCCUGUGUGAUGUGCCGGGGACACCAGGGUGAAUACUUACAGGCCCUGUUCCCCUUCCUUCAUGAAACAGCCUCCUUCGGGCUGGGUCACUGGGCACUGGGGCCUCCCUGGUCUUCCAGGAUUGCAACUUCACAGAAUCCCUUUUCCAUAAGGCACAUGAAAGUGACUGUGACCCGCAACGGGAGCCUUGACAACCAGCCAAUUCAGAACACAGACCUUGACAUCGGAAGGCCCCGAGUUCAAAUCCUGCCUUGCUCCCUUUCAGCUGGAAAGCUGUGGUCAAAUUACUUAGCCUCUCCAAGCCAGUUUUCCCUUCUGCAAAAUGAGGUUACACAAGCUGCCACCUCACAGAAUGAGUCUCACCCACGCCUCUCCAAGCCUCCCAACAGAAGACAGAGGUCCCCCACAGCCAGAGACAUUUCCUGAAGACAUGGGGAACACAGAGGCAGAAACAGCCCAUCCACCCAGGAGCUGUCCCCCACACUGCCGGGAGCCGGCACCCAGAGCCGCCAGGUAAAACUGAGGCCACCUGGUUCAACAUCACCUUUCACAGAAGGGGAAGCAGCCACAGAAAGAAGGGCCUCGUUAAGAAGUGGAACCUGGGACCCCCAAGCGGUGUCUCUCAUCCUGACUGGGGAUCCAGAGUAGGAGGGAGCCUUUGGUGGGACACAAAGGAACAGAACGAGGCACCAACAGCAAGGGGCAAGCAGAUUCAAGGGCCACAGAGGAGAUGGAGGCAAACACCUUCCCCUGGUCAGAGGCUGUGCCUCAGCCCUUCUCCCUGCAUCAGUUUCUCCUUCAGAAGCAUGGGACUACCUCCCAUCUAGUUCUCGUUUCUAAACCUAGGGGAGAUGCUAUCUUUGCUGCAAUAAUCUUAGCCUACAUCUUGGAAUGGAAAUGGCCUUGGUGGAAAUGGUCUUCAACUCCUCUGGUCCAAGCUCAGGCCCUGUGACCCUGGAACAAUCCCCUUCCUGGUCCUCCAUGUAGGAGCAAUAACAUUCCCUUGCCAGCAGCACCAGCCAUUCUGAUGAUUAAAUGGUAUCGGACUCUGUUUUCCAAACUCAGUCAUUCAGAUGCCCCCUAUUUUAUUUCUUCCAUGUCUGCAAAUGAUUAUAAUAUUUUUAAAUGUAGGAUGAGUCCUUUUUAUUACACAUAGAAAUAGCUACUGUAAAUAGCAAACUCUAACACUGUGCCUAAUUAGGAAAUAAAGGUAACCAUAAAUACAGUAAAAAUGAAACAAUGUUAUUAUGGUUUAACCUGAUAGUGUGGCUUGCAAGGCCCUGGGCCUGAAGCCUGGGCAAUAAGUGAGAGUUAGAAAGGUGUCAAAGACAUGAUAGCAGCAAACUGAGGCUUUGUACCCCACGGUAAAUAGGACUGAAAGCAAAUUCACAGGGAGCAACUGAUCCAUUCCACAACAGAAUGCUCCCUGUCAAUUCGCUUUCCAUUCUGUUGUGUCCUGUCUCCCAGCAGAGACUACAAACUCCCCAAAACCACUUACCCACCAGCUGCACGUGAGAAGCCAAAGGUAGUUUAUGUGAAAGGGCUUUGGAAAUAAUCACGCACCAAGUGAAGGCAGAGGACACACCUUGUCAGCUUAGUUCUCAGCAGCAAAUCAUCUCUUUUCCAGGAUAACCCUCCCUGAUUCUUAUUGAAAUCUCUUUGCUGACCACACUAAGCUCUUCUCUCUCAGGGGCAGUGGGAGCCGUGGAGAGUGGAAUAGACCAGCUGUCUGUGACCUGCGAGGGAGUCCAAUGUCGGAAUCACUCCCCAGCCAAAUGCACGGUUUUAAAAAAUCUAUUUAUUUAUUUAUGUAGAGACCAGGCUAUGAGACUGGCUAAUUUUUCGUAUUUUUGGAUAGAGACAGGAUUUCAUCGUGUUGCCCAGGCUGGUCUUGAACUCCUGGGCUCAAGCGAUCCACCUGCCUCGGCUUCCCAAAGUGCUCAGGAUUACAGGCGUGAGCCACUGUGCCCAGCCACCAAAUGCAGUUGAAAAGAGUUUCUGCAAGAUAAUUCCACAGAAGAGGAAAGCAGUUAUCUGGCUGGGAAUACCUUAGACAGAGGCUGUCCUCUACACAGGCUGUCAGAACUGACCUACUGACCUGCCUGCUGGCAUGAUAGACCAGAGGGAAACACUCUUUCCACUCUUCCCAGACUGAGUGUAAGAGACAGACUUUUUUUUUUUUUUUUGAGACGGAGUCUCACUCUGUCACCCAGGCUGGAGUGCAAUGGCAAGAUCUCGGCUCACUGCAACCUCCACCUCCCCGGGUUCAAACCAUUCUCCUGCCUCAGCCUCCCAGGUAGCUGGGAUUACAGGCUCCCGCCACCACGCCUGGCUAAUUUUUGUAUUUUUAGUAGAGACAGGGUUUCACCAUGUUGGCCGGGCUGGUCUCGAACUCCCAACCUCAGGUGAUCCGCCUACCUUGGCCUCCCAAAGGGUUGGGAUUACAGGUGUAAGCCACUGCUCCCAGCCUUUUUUUUUUUUUUUAUUAGAGACAAGGGCUCCCCAUGUUGCCCAGGCUGAUCUUGAACUCUAGGCUCAAGCGAUCCUCCUGCCUGAGCCUCCCAAAGUGCUAGGAUUACAGGCAUGAGCACUGCUCCCAGCUCUGUUUUUGUUUUUUUAAGGAGGUAUAUUUUUUCUGUUCUCUCUCAGCCCUGAAGAAAGGCUACCCAUCCCCUUCAGACAUUCCUGAAAAUAUAUGUCAUCCAACAUCAAGGCCACCACAGUGACCACUAAGCAAUGCAAGAAGGUCCUCUGGGGUGCCCUGAGAUCUUGGCAGGGCAGGAAGAGUGAGAAGGGGCUUUGCCUGCUCACCUGAAAGUUCCCACCCAAGCCGGGCCCAGAAAACAAAAUGAAUUAUCUACAUGGUCAUCCAAUCAGCCACCAAAUGGCAUUACCUAGGUCCAUCAUCAUGUACCAAGCCACAGGUCAGACCCAGGGCCCCCCAAAUUAACAAGACACAGGCACUGUCCUCAGGAAGUGGAGAUCUAGCCAGGUCAGACCCACACACAAAUAACACUGAUACUAGAGAUAAUGAGAUUGGGAAUUAUGAUUCAGCCAUUCAACCUGGGCUUAUGUGGCAUCUACACCACCUGGCCCUGAUUUCAGUAGUGAGCACAGUUGACAGGGUCCCUUCCCUUCACAGGUGAGCCAUGUAGUCCACAAGUGGAGGUGGUCGUAAGUGAAAACCACAUUACCAGCAUGGUAAAGGGUUAGAAAGAGGGCACCGGGUGGGCGAGAACAUGAAGCAGGGGGUGCUGAUGGCUAAAGAAGUAAAGGAGGGGCUGGGCACUGUGGUUCAUGCCUAUAAUCCCAGCACUUUGGGAGACCAAGGCGGGUGGAUCACCUGAGGUCAGGAGUUCUAGACCAGCCUGGGCAACGUGGUGAAACCCUGUCUCUACUAAAAAUACAAAAAUUAGCCAGGCAUGGUGGUGCACGCCUGUAGUCCCAGCUACUUGGGAGGCUGGGGCAUGAGAAUUGCUUUAACCCGGAAGGUGGAGUUUGCAGUGAGCCGAGAUCGUGUCACUGCACUCCAGCCUGGGCGACAGAGGGAGACUCUGUCUCAAAAAAAAAAAAAAGUCAAGGAGGGUUUCCCAGAGUGGCCACUUGAUUAGAGACCUAGCACAGGAGGAAGAGAUGGGCAGGGAGAGUGACGGGGAGCAGCACAGUCCCUGGGAGCCCGAAGUGGGUGGGCACAGGGCUCCCUAGGAGAAUGGAAGGACAUCUAUGAGCUGUAGCCCAAGAGGAAGAGGUCACUGGGGCUAGAUGCGGCAGACCCUCGCAGGCUUUGGGAAGGGCUUCAGAAUUCAGCCUGAGGGCAAUGGGGAGCCCUUUUGGGAUAUUAAACUUGAGUAAGAUAUGAGCAUAUUUGCAUCUUGAAAAAUCAUUAUGGGAAGAUGGCUGGGAAGAGAGGAGGAGUGGCAGAAGAAAGAUAGGUUGGAGACAAUUGAUUGCUCGAUGAUAUAAAAUGUUAAGUACCAUGAAUGAUGCUGUUAGGCUGGAAUGCGCCAAGCAUAAAGGUGGGGCAUGGCAUCAAAAGGUAGGUCAACAUAUUAAAUAAUUCCAUGUAUUGAAAUAUCCAGAAAAUAUAUAGACAGAUCUAUAGAGAUAGAAACUGGUCUGCCCAGGACUAGGGGUUGUCUAAGGAUAAGGAGCUUCUUUUUUGGAUGGUGAAAUAACCUAAAAUAUAUUGUGCCAUUGUUUGCACAACUUUGUGAAUAUAUUAAAAACCUGUUAAUUGUACUCACUAAAUGUCCUCCUUCUAAAUUAAGCUGUUCUUGACAAGAAAAGGAAAGAAACAAAGAAAAGAAGAGAAAAAAGGUCAAGGUUUGGUCCUGGGUGCUCAAAUGGCAGGCCACAGACAGGAAACACAGUUGUGAGGAAUUACAACAGCCUCCCGGCCAGAGCUGGAGAGGUGGAGCCCAGGUCCCCUCUAACACCCCUUCUCCUGGCCAGGUUGGAGUCCCGCCACAGGCCACCAGAGCGGAGCAGCGCAGCGCCCUGUCUCCCAGCCUGAGGUGCAGUGCUGCAUCUCUGGUCAGUUGGGAGUCUGAGAUGAAGCACUGUAGCUCAGGAAGAGAGAAGUUGUUCUGCAGCCAUCAGCCUGGAAGUGGUAAGUGCUGGGGGGUUGUGGGGGGCCAUAACAGGAAGGACAGAGUGUUUCCAGACUCCAUACUAUCAGCCACUUGUGAUGCUGGGGAAGUUCCUCUACACAAGUUCCCCUGGUGCCACGAUCUGCUUCACGAGUCUGGGCAUGUCCUGACUCCUCUGUGUACCCCAGUGUGUCCAUCUUAGCAUGAGGCGUUAGCAUUUCCCCAGCACCCUGCCUCUGCUUUCUCUUUCUGAGCCCAUGGCAGACACAGCUAAUCAGUAAAGGCAUAUAUUCUUUUUUUUUUGAGACACAGUCUCACUCCAUCACCCAGGCUGGAGUGCAGUGGCAUAAUCUCAGCUCACUGCAACCUCCUCCUCCCAGGGUCAAGCAAUUCUCGUGCCUCAGCCUCCCAAGUAGCUGAGAUUACAGGUGUGCGCCACCACACCUGGCUAAUUUUUGUAUUUUUAGUAGAGAUGGGGUUUCACUAUGUUGGCCAGGCUGGUCUCAAACUCCUGACUUCAGGUGAUCUGCCCGCCUCGGCCUCCCAAAGUGCUGGGAUUACAGGCAUGAGCCUCCACGCCCCGCCAGGCAUCCAUUCUUGAAGUGCUCAGAUGCAGCUUCAGAAUCCUCAACAAUGAGCCCUGGAAAGCCACUAGUACUGAUUCACAGCUGAAACUCAUUCAUCAUUUGUGGAUCAAACAAUUCCUAAAAACCCUUUCAGCCCUGAAGAUAAAAAUUCUGGCCUUUGAGUCAGGGUCUUCACUCUGUACUUCUAACCUUGGCUCCGGGGUAUUGCCGAAACCAGUCCAGGCACGUCACAAAUGUCUGACUUCUCCCAGAGGCUUCAGAAGCACAAUGAGCAGCAGAGGAGAGCCAUGGAGCCAAGCACAGUCUCAUUUAACCUCCCCAAAAGCUUGGGAAGUGGGUGGUGUUAUAGCCCCAUUUUACAGAUGAGAAAAACUGAGGCUUAUUUAAGCAGCUCACCUAAAGUCACAUAUUGAUUGUGCUGAGCUGAGAUUGUACCCUAAUCUGCCUUCAAAUCCAUGUUUUUACCCAUUGCAUGUGAUUAUGGAACCUGGGACCGAGGAGCAGGAGGAGAACAUUCUAAAUUCUGCUCCCAUCUUGUCUUUACAUCUCAGGUCACUUUUAGCAAAGACAGACCCGGACACUUGCCAUUAAUACUACAGGCUUCCUUCCUCCUACCCCCUUCCCCCAAUCUUAUUCAUCUCACCUCUCCAGUAGGUCGUGGACUCAUGCAUUUUAUAAUUAAAGAAGGCCAAGGCUCAGGGGUUAAGUGACUUACUGGAGGUUAUCAGAGAGGAAGUUGCCAAACCCAGGCUAGGAACUGAAUGGUUGGUUUAAAUCCACCCCUCUGGCAGGAGACUGGGGAAUACACAUGAGCCGUGCAGACAGCAGAGGGCAGUCCUGGGGGUGGGGGCGCCAGAGGGUUUCCGGUACUUUUCAGGGCAAUUGAAGUUCCGGUCACUACUCCCCCCCAGAGCAAUAAGCCACAUCCGGCGACGUGUGGCACCCCACCCUGGCUGCUACAGAUGGGGCUGGAUGCAGAAGAGAACUCCAGCUGGUCCUUAGGGACACGGCGGCCUUGGCGCUGAAGGCCACUCGCUCCCACCUUGUCCUCACGGUCCAGUUUUCCCAGGAAUCCCUUAGAUGCUAAGAUGGGGAUUCCUGGAAAUACUGUUCUUGAGGUCAUGGUUUCACAGCUGGAUUUGCCUCCUUCCCACCCCACAGUUGCCCCCCAAUGGGGCCUCGGCUGGCUCACAGGAUGAGGGUUCAAGAAGAAGGCUGUCCCUGGAGGUAAGAGGGCUUAUGAACCAUGUUCCAAACCUUUGCGUUGCUUUUCUUUCCAUCGUGUCUAUUUCAUAACAUCCCUGUGAGGCUGGAUGUGGGAACUUCAGCACUGCCGUACUCUUGGGAAAUUUGUCCAAGGCCACCCGGCUGAGCAGCGGUUGAACCAGGACACCAUCAGGCAUGCGUUUCUUGUCUCCACCACACCCUCAACCCACUUCCCAACGCGCCUUGCGACAGGGGCUGCGGUAUUGCAUCCACAUGACUGAUAAACUAGUAAACACACAUGAAUUCAUUUUAAAAGUGUAUUCAAUCAGUUAGGUAAACUAAAAACCUUAAGUCUUCGUUCGAUUUGGAAUGCAGCCAGAGAACAAAUGGAAAAUUUUUCAAGGUAGAGAAGAUGAAAACUCAGAACGCCCUCUUGUGGCAUCUCUACCCACCCUAGGAACACUAUGGCUCUUCCCCUACACAUGGUGAUUGCUAACCUUGCUACAAGACGUUGGACACACACACACACACACACACACACACACACACACUGAGGUUCCUUUUGCCCCCUCACUUUUGAGCCAGUGACUACUGAAACCCUCUCCAUUGUUGCACCACCAGCAAUGCCCCCAUCACUUCCUCUCAUUUACUUCCACAGGCUGGUUCAUCCUCAAAGCCCUCCUUACGUAGAUCUGUGGGAUCAGUGAGGCUCAGAGAGGUAAAGUGGCCAGCCCAAGGUCGCCCAGACAGCAAAAGGCAGGGCCAGCGCUGAUUUCAAGUCCAAUGGCCUAUGGCAAUUUCUUAGCCAAAAGCAAAAUCUACAAAAAUAAAAAGUCAGGCACAGUGGUGAGUGCCUACAGUCCCAGCUACUGAGGAGGCCGACGGGGGAGGACCACUUGAGCUUGGGAGUUCCUGGCUGCAGAGAGCUAUGAUUGUGCCUGUGAAUAGCCAAUGCACUCCAGCCUGAGCAAGAUAGGGAGACCCUGUCUCUAAAAAAUACCUAAAUAAUUUUAAAAGUCAGCCUCUCUGACUGCCUAUAGAGAAUGCUAACUAACUGAAUGACAGAAGACCUAAUGUAAUCCAGGUGCAAAAUCAGAACUUUCCGGCCGGGCGCGGUGGCUCACACCUGUAAUCCCAACACUUUGGGAGGCCCAGGCGGGUGGAUCACGAGGUCAGGAGUUCAAGACCGGCCUGCCCAACAUGGCAAAACCCCGUCUCUACUAAAAAUACAAAAAAUUAGCUGGGCAUGGUGGUGGCCACCUAUAAUCUCAGCUACUCAGGAGGCUGAGGCAGGAGAAUUGCUUGGACCCGGGAGGCAGAGGUUGCAGUGAGCUGAGAUCGCGCCACUGCACUCCAGCGUGGGGGACAAAAGCGAAACUCUGUCUCAAAAAAAAAAAAAUUAGAACUUUCCCCGUACUCUUGCUAGGGCUUUUCAUGGAGAUGUAGAAAUGGUAGUAAGUGCCAAGGCCCCAGAACCCUCAUGUUUGGGUCCGACUCCCACAUUGCCAGAGACUAGGCAGCUCACACAGGUGUCCCAAGCUGUCUUUCUCACAGGCCGCAUUGAAGGCAUUUAUGAAAUGAGACCCCCUCUUCCUCAUCCGUAGUGACAGGGCUGGCCUGACCGUGGAGAAAUCAGAUUUGAUCAUGAUAGCUUCCACUCCGUGACUGGUCACGAUCUGCCAGGCGCUGUGCUAAACACUUUCAUAGGCCUUGUCCCCCUCCAUCCUGAUAACACCCCAGUGAAGCAGGCCCUGCUCUUCACUCCACUCCACAAAGCCAAGGCUGAGAGAGGUUAACAGACUUACCUAAGGUCACACAGCUAAGAAGUCGUGAAGCUGGGAUCGAAUCAAGUCUGUGUUUAUGGGUUUAACUAUCAUGUUGUGGCCCCAACCCCAUUUGACCUAGCCUGGCUGGUGGGCCUUCUUGCAGUAGCUUCCCCUGGAGAAGAGGAAAAGCAAACCUUCAUUGAGACCCAAGCGGUCUCUCCUGUGCUCUGUGACAAUAAUAAAGUUCCAGCCCUUGGCUCCUGU
This 10403-nucleotide long non-coding RNA is filed under the name Homo sapiens (human). Its description in RNAcentral is "PREDICTED lncRNA (TCONS_00214858)". The stretch from base 8208 to 8293 matches the Rfam family "mir-145 microRNA precursor family". The record is from RNAcentral. Lineage: Eukaryota; Metazoa; Chordata; Mammalia; Primates; Hominidae.